GGUAAAAUAAUUUAAUGGUAUGACUUAAAGUUAAAAUUUUUAAYUUUAAAUAAUAARUAAAAAUAAUUAACUUAUUUUUAAGUUCAAAUCUUCAUUUUACCU
RNAcentral lists this transfer RNA (102 nucleotides) under Vitis vinifera (wine grape). RNAcentral's name for it is "transfer RNA-Lys". The record is from RNAcentral. Lineage: Eukaryota; Viridiplantae; Streptophyta; Magnoliopsida; Vitales; Vitaceae.